AGUGGGGAAUAUUGGACAAUGGGCGAAAGCCUGAUCCAGCGACGCCGCGUGUGUGAAGAAGGCCUGCGGGUUGUAAAGCACUUUCGAUGGGAACGAAAUGUGCCGGGCUAAUACCCCGGCAAGCUGACGUUACUCAAUGAAGAAGCACCGGCUAACUCUGUGCCAGCAGCCGCGGUAAUACAGAGGGUGCGAGCGUUAAUCGGAAUUACUGGGCGUAAAGCGCACGUAGGUGGCGACGUAAGUCGGGUGUGAAAGCCCCGGGCUCAACCUGGGAAUUGCAUUCGAGACUGCAUUGCUGGAGUACGGAAGAGGAAGGCGGAAUUCCCGGUGUAGCGGUGAAAUGCGUAGAUAUCGGGAGGAACAUCAGUGGCGAAGGCGGCCUUCUGGUCCAGUACUGACACUCAAGUGCGAAAGCGUGGGGAGCAAA
This 427-nucleotide ribosomal RNA is filed under the name uncultured Lysobacterales bacterium. Its description in RNAcentral is "bacterial SSU rRNA". It matches the Rfam family "Bacterial small subunit ribosomal RNA", at positions 353 to 772 of the family's 1533-position model. Lineage: Bacteria; Pseudomonadati; Pseudomonadota; Gammaproteobacteria; Lysobacterales. The record is from RNAcentral.